CGUCCCCAAGAGCCGAGCCCGCGGUGUCAGAUGGCAGAGGCUCGGCCCGCUCCUUUCACCAGAGAUUCCCUUAUCGAGGCACCCAUUCAGUGCAAUAAUGCAGCACCAUCUAUUCACGUUAUAAUAUUGAGCCUGCAAAACAGUCUGUUCAGCAAAUGGCAGCUGAAGCAUCUUUUACUUCAUUUAAGCUGCUCUUUCAGACAUCCCCUGCACACCGUGGGAAACUGGCAAGUUGAAAAGAGGUCAUCACAGUCUGCAUCCCAUCAAGACAAAAAGUUUUCAUGGAAAAUAGGUGGGAUAUCCAAACGUCCCUGUCAGACAGGAGCAGCACAGCCCAACAGCAGAAAGGGUUUUUCUGAUGCAAUUCUGUACUGCAGAAUGGCAACCAGCUUCUGACUCACUGAAACAUCCUCCUUGAUUUUUACAUUCCUUUUCAACAACUCUGUAUAAAAGGAUUCACUGCACUGCUACAGACAAAAAUUCCCUUUUUCCUGUUCCCCUGAUCACAUUCACCAGCAGAGGGGCUGGAACCUGUGGAAGGUCCACCCAGGUGAAGCUCCCUGAACAGCCCAGGCCAGAAGAGAAGGAGGGAAGGAGCUGCCAGAGUCUGUCCUGCAGUGCAGCAAUCAGGGCUUGAGCUGGACUUUGGGUCUGACACACACUUGGGGUAGAGACCACCUUUUCACAGAGCCUUCCCCUGCACCCAGGGCUGCUGUUCCUGACUGCUCACCACAAACCAGUAUUGCAUUUUCAUCUCUCAGCAGUCCCAUUUGAGAAAGCAGCUGUACAAAUGCUUCCAGACUUCUCACUGCCUUAUAUUAGUCUCCAAAAAUUAGUGCAACACAUGGCAGUGUGUUCCCUAGAAAUCCAGGAAUUUAACUAUGACAACACUUGGAGUUCAUUUUUUAUGGAGGCACUUUUGAAGUUGCACUCAGGUCAUACUUUUCUUGAAAACAAUUUACAGAAAUAUUUGGAAGACAACAAGAACCCCAAGCAAGAAGCCCUUCCCACCCUAAAUUGUGACUGAAAGCACCUCUAAAGCACUUCUAAAUGAAAACAAUUGUAUCAAAAUGUGGUUAUAGGGGAAUAAUCUUGGAGCAAAGCAUCUCAACAACAUAAAAGAGACAUGAUACUUCAAUACCCUGAAACACAGGCCUCUCAUUUACAAGAAUAACACUGCAAAACUCCUAUCCAACAGUAGCUUUGCUCCCAGCAGCACCUGUGCCAAGCCCAAAUCUGAUUUCUCACUCCUAUAAUCUACAUAACCAAGCUUCCUUGGGUGCUGCUUAAACACCCAGUCAUUUUGUCACAGGGACUGCCCAUGGCUCCUUUGAUGCUCUCCUAAUCCUCAAGCACACUCAUCACAGGACAGCUCUCCUACACUGCUGAUCUCGGGCAGCAGCAUCCUCCUGCCUUCCCCAGCUACACCCUCAUUUGCAGAAGAGUGGCAACUUAAAAAAAAAAAAACAAAACCAAAAACAAAAACACAAACCCAAAAAACAACAACAACAAAAAAAAACCACCACAACACCACUUUGGAAAAAAAUGUCUUUGGUUAAGAAACAAACUGUUUGCUUUUUUUGCCUAGAAUACCUGGAUUUAAUUACAAAGAAUCAGAGUAAAGAUUAACUUAACUAUUUCUGUGAAGGCAAGUGUUGUUCCAAAGAAAAAAAAAUGAAGCCCUUUUAUUACCAAAAAUCUUCCACAAACAUGAGGGGCGUGGAGGGACAGCCACAGCAGAUAUACAGGGAACACAGCAAAUUCCAGGGAAAUCAGAGGGUCUAGCAGAUCCUACACUCACACAUCACCUCUGACUUCACAAAUAAGUAACUUAAAACAGCAGCAUGCAACAAAACUGGAGAGAAACACUUCUGCUCAGCCACGUUCUUAUUCUUGACAUACCAACAGAAAUUGAAGGAGAUGGCAGGAGUUGAAAGCUUUUUCAGUAAUGAGGGAACUGAAGUUACCAGUUAUAAUUCCGGCCAACCUUCCUCCUUUUUCAUGCUGGGGGGGAAGAGACAACUACUAUAUUUUCUGAGAGCACAAGGCUGCCAACUGGCUGUUCUGCUGGAAAGGAUUAAAAUGCAAUGUCAAGGAGAACUGUUGGAAGAAUGAGACUAGGAAAAGCAUACAGCUGGGAGCUGGGGACUGUUCCUUGUGUCUGACAGUACAACAUGGAUUUUAAUACUUCUCCAGGACCUGCAGAGCAAGGGGCUGCUCUCCAGUAAUUUAGUACUGACACUUUUAAGUUUACUUGGCAACAAGACCAGGAGGCAAAUUCUUCUUUAUAGUUUCACUGGUGCAGUUCCAAGGCAGUGACAGUGGAGUCAGUGGCACUACGUCACCAUAAAGGAAUUGGAUUCACUUCCCAUCUUUUACCAUCUCUGCAAUGAAUAGGAUAGGGAAUCUGAAAAAGCAGCAACUUCAUUUAUAUUUAACAAUCUAUUCCUUCUGCCAACAGAAGAUUAUAUUUAAUCAGAAGCACUCCUUCCUUUUCCAGCACCUGGUGGAUAUUAAUUGCUGCAGCUCCAUUCUGUGGCUGCCAAGGCACUGUACGCACUGGGAGGGACUGGGAGCUCAGGAGAAAUGUGUCCCAGGUGCUCCUGAGGACAAGCCCACCAUGCACACACACAGAGUUAUGGAAGCUUUAGUCUCAAGGAGGCACCCAGGCUUGUGGGUGCUCUCACCACUGCCAUCCUUCUCCACCUCCAACCCAGCAUUUGCCACCUCCUCCAGCUUCAUUCAACUCACACAACGAGUUCUGCCAGAGAAUCCACCUCUGUCACUAAAGCAACAUCCACAGCCAUAACAAAUUAAUAGUAAUAAAUGAGUAGUGUCUUAUAUUGACAGCAAACUGGUGGGUGUGAUGAAGAAAAGAUACUCAUUUGCUUGAUACAUUGUGGGAUAUUAAAAUCAAUGCUUGGUAUUUCCAGCUACGAAGCUAAUCAAUUGCUUUUAUAAGCUGAAGCCUUCUCCUUCCUUAAAGCACUGAAAAAUACCUUAGCCUAAAAAAAUUAACUCCAAUUCUAAGGAGGCACAUUGAGAAAGCUGAGGAGAAUGGUAGU
Molecule: long non-coding RNA, 3065 nt
Organism: Passer domesticus (house sparrow)
Lineage: Eukaryota; Metazoa; Chordata; Aves; Passeriformes; Passeridae
Exons: 3
Source: RefSeq, a predicted model, not a curated record